GGGGAAUUAGCUCAGUUGGUAGAGCGAUAGGUUCGCAAUCUAUAGGUCAGGAGUUCGAAUCUCCUAUUCUCCA
This 73-nucleotide transfer RNA is filed under the name Treponema sp. Its description in RNAcentral is "tRNA-Ala". It matches the Rfam family "tRNA". From Rfam's summary of the family: Transfer RNA (tRNA) molecules are approximately 80 nucleotides in length. Their secondary structure includes four short double-helical elements and three loops (D, anti-codon, and T loops). Lineage: Bacteria; Pseudomonadati; Spirochaetota; Spirochaetia; Treponematales; Treponemataceae. The record is from RNAcentral.